This 88-nucleotide non-coding RNA is filed under the name unclassified sequences. Its description in RNAcentral is "c-di-GMP-II-ACU riboswitch". It matches the Rfam family "Cyclic di-GMP-II riboswitch aptamer". The record is from RNAcentral.
UAGUGGUGCGGGCGCGACGAUGUGUUUCUCCUUAAUUGGUCGCCAAGGGGGAAACAGGGAGCGAGUGGCGAACCCUCCCGCGGAAAAU